This is a long non-coding RNA of Numida meleagris (helmeted guineafowl), 1206 nucleotides long. RefSeq lists it as uncharacterized. The record is from RefSeq and is a predicted model, not a curated record. The transcript is spliced from 6 exons. Lineage: Eukaryota; Metazoa; Chordata; Aves; Galliformes; Numididae.
CCCUGAGCCUUCCCUGGGGCGGCGGGAAGUAGCCAUCUUGCCUCAGAGCCCUCUGUACAUCCGGGGCUCUCCCCCUCCUGGUAGAGCUGACAGAAAGCAUCGUCACGCUGCGAGAGGUCUGGCCACAGAGGAGCUUCCAGCUCCUGCAGCUUCAGUGAAAUGAAGAACCUGCAAGCAAAGUUUCCAAAGAUAAAGCUCAAACUUUUAUAAAGGCUGGAUGCAGCAGAGAAUAUGUCUUUCAAUUUACCCCUGAUACUACAGUGCUCUGGAUCUUGCUAAAAGGAACAGAAGUUCUUUCAACUUUCCUCUUUUUAAGGGGAAAUACAUCUGCCAAAGAAGAGAAUGCUGUUGGUUGGGUUGUGCUUGAUACAGAGGAGGAAUGGAUGGUCAACCCUAAAUUCUUCAGAGACGCUUGUAGCAUCCACUCCAGCCUCUGCUGAGCUUACCACCUCUCUGCCUGCUUCAUAGAUUUCUGCAUAUGCUGCGUGGACAGCUUGAGAUAUCUUCAGGCUCUCUGCUGAGGAGAUGCCAGACAGAUUGGCUGAAGAGCUGAACAGGCAGUUUAAUUUAUGAAGACAUGAAGGAAGCACAUUGAGCACCACCAAAUGGAACAAUAGUUAGAACCAGUAAGCCUAAUAUGAACUUUCCAAGAAGCUCCUCAGUGUGCAGGAAUGGAGAUAUAAGACAUUUAGAGUUCAAGCCACUACAGUAACAGCUGUUUAGCUUCCGGGGCCAUACCUGCUCAAGGCCAGAGACUUCAUCAGGCAACAGCACCAACAUGCUCAUUGUUCCACUGACAAAUGGAAGCUCCAGGAUCUUAACUUUCUCAGAAGCCACCGAUGCCACUUUAAAUGAACCAAUCUGGCUCAUCAUCUGCACAGGAAGAAUUUCAUAAGAUAAGUGGGAAUCUGAAGUUAUUUCUCAGGAGCUUUGUAACGUCAGAAACAGUGUGAAGAGAGAGACAUAAGGAAAAUGCCCUGGUAUUAACAUAGUGUCUGGAAGAGGAGCAGACAAGUGAGCAGAUACGCUAAUGCAGUGUUUAUAUAACAACAUGUCUACUCUCUUCAUAAAUUCUAGAUGACAUCUUUCAGGUAUGCCCCUGUACCUCAGUCACUCUGAAAGGUAUUGCUUGUGUGUCUUCAUCCUUAAAUGCUCUCUCCCACAGUCCUUUGAAGUAAAUGGCAUUAACCAGGACCAUUGCAGUUU